This 468-nucleotide ribosomal RNA is filed under the name uncultured bacterium. Its description in RNAcentral is "partial 16S ribosomal RNA". It matches the Rfam family "Bacterial small subunit ribosomal RNA", at positions 28 to 507 of the family's 1533-position model. The record is from RNAcentral.
GACGAACGCUGGCGGCGUGCUUAACACAUGCAAGUCGAACGGAAAGGCCCUGCUUUUGUGGGGUGCUCGAGUGGCGAACGGGUGAGUAACACGUGAGUAACCUGCCCUUGACUUUGGGAUAACUUCAGGAAACUGGGGCUAAUACCGAAUAGGAGCUCCUGCUGCAUGGUGGGGGUUGGAAAGUUUCGGCGGUUGGGGAUGGACUCGCGGCUUAUCAGCUUGUUGGUGGGGUAGUGGCUUACCAAGGCUUUGACGGGUAGCCGGCCUGAGAGGGUGACCGGCCACAUUGGGACUGAGAUACGGCCCAGACUCCUACGGGAGGCAGCAGUGGAGAAUAUUGCACAGUGGGCGGAGGCCUGAUGCAGCAACGCCGCGUGCGGGAUGACGGCCUUCGGGUUGUAAACCGCUUUCGCCUGUGACGAGGCGUGAGUGACGGUAAUGGGUAAAGAAGCACCGGCUAACUACGUG